This 253-nucleotide ribosomal RNA is filed under the name uncultured bacterium. Its description in RNAcentral is "partial 16S ribosomal RNA". It matches the Rfam family "Bacterial small subunit ribosomal RNA", at positions 524 to 776 of the family's 1533-position model. The record is from RNAcentral.
UACGGGGGGGGUAAGCGUUGUUCGGAAUUACUGGGCGUAAAGGGCCCGUAGGCGGCCAACUAAGUCAUACGUGAAAUCCCUCAGCUUAACUGGGGAACUGCGUGUGAUACUGGAUGGCUUGGAUUUGGGAGAGGGAUGCGGAAUUCCAGGUGUAGCGGUGAAAUGCGUAGAUAUCUGGAGGAACACCGGUGGCGAAGGCGGCAUCCUGGACCAAUAUUGACGCUGAGGAGCGAAAGCCAGGGGAGCAAACGGG